This 72-nucleotide small RNA is filed under the name Pseudomonas sp. M30-35. Its description in RNAcentral is "Pseudomonas sRNA P10". It matches the Rfam family "Pseudomonas sRNA P10". The record is from Rfam by way of RNAcentral. Lineage: Bacteria; Pseudomonadati; Pseudomonadota; Gammaproteobacteria; Pseudomonadales; Pseudomonadaceae.
GUUAUCUGAUCCCACCUCAUGCCCACAUACUGGGCAUGGAACCAAUCCAAUCGUUCAGGGUUCACCAGAUGU